ACUUAAGUAAUUUAAUUAAAAUAUUGAUUUGUGAUGUCAAUUAUGCGUUUAUACGUCUUAGGUA
This 64-nucleotide transfer RNA is filed under the name Anaplecta sp. 4 ZQW-2020. RNAcentral describes it as "tRNA-His". Lineage: Eukaryota; Metazoa; Arthropoda; Insecta; Blattodea; Anaplectidae. The record is from RNAcentral.